UCAUGACCUCAUUGAAGAAAAUGAAAAACACGGUGCUGGUGACUUUCAUGUGUCUUGGGAGCUUGAGAUGGUCAGUGUCAUUAAAGCACUCUCCAGUACUCAAGCUUCCCUUACAUGCCAAUUGUACUCGUACAUCUGCAUUAAUUCAUCUAUGCAAGCUUGUGUUUUCUUGGUUUGUUUUUUCCACCUUCUGUCCCAUUUGGUUCUUUAAACAUCAGGUUUAACAUUGAUAAUAUGCAUAAUUUUUAAACCAAAGUAUUGUAUAAGUCUGUGUGCUUUUGUUGUUCUGGAUGAUUUGACCGAGGUGAAAACCAAUCUUGUCCUUCUCUCUUAAUAAAGUCAUCCAUUUGUUAA
This is a long non-coding RNA of Galeopterus variegatus (Sunda flying lemur), 354 nucleotides long. RefSeq lists it as uncharacterized. The record is from RefSeq and is a predicted model, not a curated record. The transcript has 2 exons. NCBI's taxonomy places the organism in Eukaryota, Metazoa, Chordata, Mammalia, Dermoptera, Cynocephalidae.